This 404-nucleotide ribosomal RNA is filed under the name uncultured bacterium. RNAcentral's name for it is "bacterial SSU rRNA". It matches the Rfam family "Bacterial small subunit ribosomal RNA", at positions 355 to 776 of the family's 1533-position model. The record is from RNAcentral.
UGGGGAAUAUUGCACAAUGGGGGAAACCCUGAUGCAGCGACGCCGCGUGAAGGAUGAAGUAUUUCGGUAUGUAAACUUCUAUCAGCAGGGAAGAAAAUGACGGUACCUGACUAAGAAGCCCCGGCUAACUACGUGCCAGCAGCCGCGGUAAUACGUAGGGGGCAAGCGUUAUCCGGAUUUACUGGGUGUAAAGGGAGCGUAGACGGUCUUGUAAGUCUGAUGUGAAAACCCGGGGCUCAACCCCGGGACUGCAUUGGAAACUAUAGGACUAGAGUGUCGGAGAGGCAAGUGGAAUUCCUAGUGUAGCGGUGAAAUGCGUAGAUAUUAGGAGGAACACCAGUGGCGAAGGCGGCUUGCUGGACGAUGACUGACGUUGAGGCUCGAAAGCGUGGGGAGCAAACAGG